GAUGAACGCUGGCGGCGUGCCUAAUACAUGCAAGUAGAACGCUGAAGGAAGGAGCUUGCUCUUUCCGGAUGAGUUGCGAACGGGUGAGUAACGCGUAGGUAACCUGCCUGGUAGCGGGGGAUAACUAUUGGAAACGAUAGCUAAUACCGCAUAACAGUAGAUAUUGCAUGAUAUCUGCUUGAAAGGUGCAAAUGCAUCACUACCAGAUGGACCUGCGUUGUAUUAGCUAGUUGGUGAGGUAACGGCUCACCAAGGCGACGAUACAUAGCCGACCUGAGAGGGUGAUCGGCCACACUGGGACUGAGACACGGCCCAGACUCCUACGGGAGGCAGCAGUAGGGAAUCUUCGGCAAUGGACGGAAGUCUGACCGAGCAACGCCGCGUGAGUGAAGAAGGUUUUCGGAUCGUAAAGCUCUGUUGUAAGAGAAGAACGAGUGUGAGAGUGGAAAGUUCACACUGUGACGGUAUCUUACCAGAAAGGGACGGCUAACUACGUGCCAGCAGCCGCGGUAAUACGUAGGUCCCGAGCGUUAUCCGGAUUUAUUGGGCGUAAAGCGAGCGCAGGCGGUUAGAUAAGUCUGAAGUUAAAGGCUGUGGCUUAACCAUAGUACGCUUUGGAAACUGUUUAACUUGAGUGCAAGAGGGGAGAGUGGAAUUCCAUGUGUAGCGGUGAAAUGCGUAGAUAUAUGGAGGAACACCGGUGGCGAAAGCGGCUCUCUGGCUUGUAACUGACGCUGAGGCUCGAAAGCGUGGGGAGCAAACAGG
Molecule: ribosomal RNA, 765 nt
Filed under: uncultured Streptococcus sp.
Lineage: Bacteria; Bacillati; Bacillota; Bacilli; Lactobacillales; Streptococcaceae
Description: bacterial SSU rRNA
Rfam family: Bacterial small subunit ribosomal RNA
Source: RNAcentral